UAUGUGAUCGUCUCUCGCAUAUCAAUAAGCGGAGGAAAAGAAACUAACAAGGAUUCCCCUAGUAAUGGCGAGUGAAGCGGGAAGAGCUCAAAUUUGAAAUCUUAAAGGGGUUUCCCUUUACGAAUUGUAGUUUAAAGAAGUGUUUUCUGUUGAGGUUUUGGUAAAAGUUCUUUGGAAUAGGACAUCAUAGAGGGUGAGAAUCCCGUAUUUGACCUUUACUUUCAACUUUGUGAUACACUUUCAAAGAGUCGGAUUGUUUGGGAAUGCUAGUCCAAAAUGGGUGGUAAAUUUCAUCUAAAGCUAAAUAUUGGCGAGAGACCGAUAGCGAACAAGUACCGUGAGGGAAAGAUGAAAAGAACUUUGAAAAGAGAGUUAAACAGUACGUGAAAUUGUCAAAAGGGAAGCGUUUGACACCAGUGUUGUUUUUCCUGAAAAUCAAUUAAAGAACUGUUUAUGCUAAGCUUGUUUAGACUUUAUCAGCUAAUCUGUUUAGUUUUGAGCUUUUCUUUAAUGCACUUUUCAGUUAACAAGUCAACAUCAAUUUCUUUUGCUGUAAAAAAGCUUGAGGAAGGUGGCUUGAGAUUCGUCUUAAGUGUUUAUAGCCUCUUGCCUAUGCAGUCGGAGAGAUUGAGGUCUGCAGCGUAGAUCCUUCGGGGCUAAAUGCAUUUGUGCUAAGUUAUAGCAUUUUAUAGACAACUUGUUGACUAUGAUUUGUCUUGUAGCUUACUCGCUUAUGUUAUUUUACCUACGCUUAGGAUGUUGAUAUGCAUGACUGAUAU
This 779-nucleotide ribosomal RNA is filed under the name uncultured Neocallimastigales. RNAcentral's name for it is "partial large subunit ribosomal RNA". It matches the Rfam family "Eukaryotic large subunit ribosomal RNA", at positions 24 to 640 of the family's 3401-position model. The record is from RNAcentral. Lineage: Eukaryota; Fungi; Neocallimastigomycota; Neocallimastigomycetes; Neocallimastigales.